AGUAAAUAUUAUAAAGCUGGGCUAUGAAAAAGGAUUAGUAAAAAGUUGCCUGAUGGCACUCUAUUUUUCUUACCUGUGGCAUUUCAAAAAUUUUCACAUCACAUUUGUGAAAGCUAUUUAAUAGAAUGUAACUCUUGAUAAUACCAAUAUAAGUUAUUUAAAAAUGUUUAAGUUAUACUCAUUUAAAUGUGUUCAUAUCUUUAUUUGAUUUAAUUAAUGUAUAAGGUUAUUUAAUAGAUAAUGAUGUGCCGGGAGAGUUUAUAAACAAAUA
RNAcentral lists this unclassified non-coding RNA (271 nucleotides) under Hevea brasiliensis (rubber tree). Lineage: Eukaryota; Viridiplantae; Streptophyta; Magnoliopsida; Malpighiales; Euphorbiaceae. The record is from RNAcentral.